CCUACGGGAGGCAGCAGUGGGGAAUAUUGCACAAUGGGGGAAACCCUGAUGCAGCAACGCCGCGUGAGUGAUGAAGUAUCUCUGUAUUUAAAGCUCUAUCAGUAGGGACGUAAAUUACAGUACCUUACUAAGUCUCCCCGGCUAACUUCGUUCCAGCAGCCGCGGUAAUACGGAGGGGGCAAGCGUUAUCCGGAUUUACUGGGUGUAAUGGGAGCGUAGACUGCUGCGGAAGUCAGAAGUGAAAGCCCGGGGCUCAACCGCGGGACUUCUUUUGAAACUGUGGAGCUAGAGUGCAGGAGAGGUAAGUGGAAUUCCUGGUGUAGCGGUGAAAUGCGUAGAUAGUAGGAGGAACACCGGUGGCGAAGGCGGCUUACUGGACUGUAACUGACGUUGAGGCUCGAAAGCGUGGGGAGCAAACAGGAUUAGAUACCCCUGUAGUC
Molecule: ribosomal RNA, 440 nt
Filed under: uncultured bacterium
Lineage: Bacteria
Description: partial 16S ribosomal RNA
Rfam family: Bacterial small subunit ribosomal RNA
Source: RNAcentral